GAUGAACGCUGGCGGCGUGCCUAAUACAUGCAAGUCGAGCGAACGGACGAGAAGCUUGCUUCUCUGAUGUUAGCGGCGGACGGGUGAGUAACACGUGGAUAACCUACCUAUAAGACUGGGAUAACUUCGGGAAACCGGAGCUAAUACCGGAUAAUAUUUUGUACCGCAUGGUUCAAAAGUGAAAGACGGUCUUGCUGUCACUUAUAGAUGGAUCCGCGCUGCAUUAGCUAGUUGGUAAGGUAACGGCUUACCAAGGCAACGAUGCAUAGCCGACCUGAGAGGGUGAUCGGCCACACUGGAACUGAGACACGGUCCAGACUCCUACGGGAGGCAGCAGUAGGGAAUCUUCCGCAAUGGGCGAAAGCCUGACGGAGCAACGCCGCGUGAGUGAUGAAGGUCUUCGGAUCGUAAAACUCUGUUAUUAGGGAAGAACAAAUGUGUAAGUAACUAUGCACGUCUUGACGGUACCUAAUCAGAAAGCCACGGCUAACUACGUG
RNAcentral lists this ribosomal RNA (497 nucleotides) under uncultured bacterium. RNAcentral's name for it is "partial 16S ribosomal RNA". It matches the Rfam family "Bacterial small subunit ribosomal RNA", at positions 28 to 507 of the family's 1533-position model. The record is from RNAcentral.